CGGGGAUUUUGGGCAAUGGGCGAAAGCCUGACCCAGCAACGCCGCGUGAGGGAUGAAGUAUUUCGGUAUGUAAACCUCGAAAGAAUGGGAAGAAUAAAUGACGGUACCAUUUAUAAGCUCCGGCUAACUACGUGCCAGCAGCCGCGGUAAUACGUAGGGAGCAAGCGUUGUUCGGAUUUACUGGGCGUAAAGGGCGCGUAGGCGGCGCGGUAAGUCACUUGUGAAAUCUCUGAGCUUAACUCAGAACGGCCAAGUGAUACUGCUGUGCUAGAGUGCGGAAGAGGCAACCGGAAUUCUUGGUGUAGCGGUGAAAUGCGUAGAUAUCAAGAGGAACACCUGAGGCGAAGGCGGGUUGCUGGGCCGACACUGACGCUGAUGCGCGAAAGCCAGGGGAGCAAACG
Molecule: ribosomal RNA, 401 nt
Filed under: uncultured bacterium
Lineage: Bacteria
Description: bacterial SSU rRNA
Rfam family: Bacterial small subunit ribosomal RNA
Source: RNAcentral